GACGAACGCUGGCGGCGUGCUUAACACAUGCAAGUCGAACGGAAAGGCCCUGCUUUUGUGGGGUGCUCGAGUGGCGAACGGGUGAGUAACACGUGAGUAACCUGCCCUUGACUUUGGGAUAACUUCAGGAAACUGGGGCUAAUACCGGAUAGGAGCUCCUGCUGCAUGGUGGGGGUUGGAAAGUUUCGGCGGUUGGGGAUGGACUCGCGGCUUAUCAGCUUGUUGGUGGGGUAGUGGCUUACCAAGGCUUUGACGGGUAGCCGGCCUGAGAGGGUGACCGGCCACGUUGGGACGGAGAUACGGCGCAGACUCCUACGGGAGGCAGCAGUGGGGAAUGUUGCACAAUGGGCGGAAGCCUGAUGCAGCAACGCCGCGUGCGGGAUGACGGCCUUCGGGUUGUAAACCGCUUUCGCCUGUGACGAAGCGGGAGUGACGGUAAUGGGUAAAGAAGCACCGGCUAACUACGUG
RNAcentral lists this ribosomal RNA (468 nucleotides) under uncultured bacterium. RNAcentral's name for it is "partial 16S ribosomal RNA". It matches the Rfam family "Bacterial small subunit ribosomal RNA", at positions 28 to 507 of the family's 1533-position model. The record is from RNAcentral.